This 253-nucleotide ribosomal RNA is filed under the name uncultured bacterium. Its description in RNAcentral is "partial 16S ribosomal RNA". It matches the Rfam family "Bacterial small subunit ribosomal RNA", at positions 524 to 776 of the family's 1533-position model. The record is from RNAcentral.
UACAGAGGUCCCAAGCGUUGUUCGAAUUCACUGGGCGUAAAGGGUGCGUAGGUGGUGAGGUAAGUUUGAUGUGAAAUCUCCGGGCUUAACCCGGAAAUGGCAUUGAAUACUAUCUUGCUAGAGGAGUGGAGGGGGGACUGGAAUACUUGGUGUAGCAGUGAAAUGCGUAGAUAUCAAGUGGAACACCAGUGGCGAAGGCGAGUCCCUGGACACUUCCUGACACUGAGGCACGAAAGCUAGGGGAGCAAACAGG